AUACGUAUGGGGCAAGCGUUAUCCGGAUUCAUUGGGCGUAAAGCGCGUGUAGGCGGCUUGUUAAGUCAGAUGUGAAAACCGGGGGCUUAACCCGCGGCGUGCAUCUGAAACUGGCAGGCUUGAGUCUGGUAGAGGAAAGUGGAAUUCCUAGUGUAGCGGUGAAAUGCGCAGAUAUUAGGAGGAACACCAGUGGCGAAGGCGGCUUUCUGGGCCACGACUGACGCUCAGACGCGAAAGCUAGGGGAGCAAACAGGAUUAGAAACCCCAGUAGUCC
Molecule: ribosomal RNA, 274 nt
Filed under: uncultured bacterium
Lineage: Bacteria
Description: partial 16S ribosomal RNA
Rfam family: Bacterial small subunit ribosomal RNA
Source: RNAcentral